GUGGGGAAUAUUGGACAAUGGGCGAAAGCCUGAUCCAGCCAUGCCGCGUGUGUGAAGAAGGUCUUCGGAUUGUAAAGCACUUUAAGUUGGGAGGAAGGGCAGUAAGUUAAUACCUUGCUGUUUUGACGUUACCGACAGAAUAAGCACCGGCUAACUCUGUGCCAGCAGCCGCGGUAAUACAGAGGGUGCAAGCGUUAAUCGGAAUUACUGGGCGUAAAGCGCGCGUAGGUGGUUCGUUAAGUUGGAUGUGAAAGCCCCGGGCUCAACCUGGGAACUGCAUCCAAAACUGGCGAGCUAGAGUACGGUAGAGGGUGGUGGAAUUUCCUGUGUAGCGGUGAAAUGUGUAGAUAUAGGAAGGAACACCAGUGGCGAAGGCGACCACCUGGACUGAUACUGACACUGAGGUGCGAAAGCGUGGGGAGCAAACAGGAUUAGAAACCCUGGUAGUCC
This 450-nucleotide ribosomal RNA is filed under the name uncultured bacterium. RNAcentral describes it as "partial 16S ribosomal RNA". It matches the Rfam family "Bacterial small subunit ribosomal RNA", at positions 354 to 796 of the family's 1533-position model. The record is from RNAcentral.